GCCAGGUGUGAUGGCUCACACCUGUAAUCCCAGCACUCUGGGAGGCUGAGGCGGGAGGAUCACCUGAGGUCAGGAGUUUGAGACCAGCCUGGCCAACAUGGUGAAACUCUGUCUCUA
This 117-nucleotide non-coding RNA is filed under the name Nomascus leucogenys (northern white-cheeked gibbon). Lineage: Eukaryota; Metazoa; Chordata; Mammalia; Primates; Hylobatidae. The record is from Rfam by way of RNAcentral.